This 301-nucleotide ribosomal RNA is filed under the name uncultured bacterium. RNAcentral describes it as "partial 16S ribosomal RNA". It matches the Rfam family "Bacterial small subunit ribosomal RNA", at positions 509 to 807 of the family's 1533-position model. The record is from RNAcentral.
CAGCCGCCGCGGGAAUACGUAGGGUGCAAGCGUUAUCCGGAAUUAUUGGGCGUAAAGAGCUCGUAGGCGGUUUGUCGCGUCUGCUGUGAAAACUGGAGGCUCAACCUCCAGCCUGCAGUGGGUACGGGCAGACUAGAGUGCGGUAGGGGAGAUUGGAAUUCCUGGUGUAGCGGUGGAAUGCGCAGAUAUCAGGAGGAACACCGAUGGCGAAGGCAGAUCUCUGGGCCGUAACUGACGCUGAGGAGCGAAAGCGUGGGGAGCGAACAGGAUUAGAUACCCCUGUAGUCCCUGUCUCUUAUAC